Molecule: ribosomal RNA, 242 nt
Filed under: uncultured eukaryote
Lineage: Eukaryota
Description: partial 18S ribosomal RNA
Rfam family: Eukaryotic small subunit ribosomal RNA
Source: RNAcentral
UGGUGAAGUGAUUUGUCUGUGUUAAUUCCGAUAACGAACGAGACCUUGACUUACAUGUUUAAAUCUGCAUGAUACUAAUUUCCUACUUAUGGUGUUCCUUUUCUUUUAAAGGCUUCACCUUGGAAACUCAUGUAUGUGCAUUUCGUAUUUCUUUGUGCAUGGUUUUUUAAAUCGUGUUCAAUUGCGGAUUGUAUUUAACCUUGAAGGACGAUUCAUUUAUUAUAGUGAAAGGAAGAGCGAGG